RNAcentral lists this ribosomal RNA (211 nucleotides) under uncultured bacterium. RNAcentral's name for it is "partial 16S ribosomal RNA". It matches the Rfam family "Bacterial small subunit ribosomal RNA", at positions 124 to 334 of the family's 1533-position model. The record is from RNAcentral.
ACUAUCCUAUCAGAGGGGGAUAACCCGGCGAAAGUCGGACUAAUACCGCAUGAAGCAGGGAUCCCGCAUGGGAAUAUUUGCUAAAGAUUCAUCGCUGAUAGAUAGGCAUGCGUUCCAUUAGGCAGUUGGCGGGGUAACGGCCCACCAAACCGACGAUGGAUAGGGGUUCUGAGAGGAAGGUCCCCCACAUUGGUACUGAGACACGGACCAA